CAUCAAAUGGCUGAAAGUAAGUAAUGGUCUCUUAAACCAGUCUAUAGUAAUUUAACAAAUACUUUUGAUGA
RNAcentral lists this transfer RNA (71 nucleotides) under Phraortes sp. Iriomote Island. Its description in RNAcentral is "tRNA-Lys". Lineage: Eukaryota; Metazoa; Arthropoda; Insecta; Phasmatodea; Lonchodidae. The record is from RNAcentral.